RNAcentral lists this ribosomal RNA (292 nucleotides) under uncultured bacterium. Its description in RNAcentral is "partial 16S ribosomal RNA". It matches the Rfam family "Bacterial small subunit ribosomal RNA", at positions 505 to 796 of the family's 1533-position model. The record is from RNAcentral.
GUGUCAGCCGCCGCGGUAAAACGUAGGAGGCGAGCGUUAUCCGGAUUUACUGGGCGUAAAGCGCGCGCAGGCGGCUUUGUAAGUCGGAUGUGAAAGCUCCUGGCUUAACUGGGAGAGGUCAUUCGAAACUACGAGGCUUGAGGUUGGGAGAGGGGUGUGGAAUUCCCGGUGUAGUGGUGGAAUGCGUAGAUAUCGGGAGGAACACCUGUGGCGAAAGCGGCACCCUGGCCCACACCUGACGCUGAGGUGCGAAAGCGUGGGUAGCAAACAGGAUUAGAUACCCCGGUAGUCC